GAUGAACGCUGGCGGCGUGCCUAAUACAUGCAAGUCGAGCGAACGGACGAGAAGCUUGCUUCUCUGAUGUUAGCGGCGGACGGGUGAGUAACACGUGGAUAACCUACCUAUAAGACUGGGAUAACUUCGGGAAACCGUAGCUAAUACCGGAUAAUAUUUUGAACCGCAUGGUUCAAAAGUGAAAGACGGUCUUGCUGUCACUUAUAGAUGGAUCCGCGCUGCAUUAGCUAGUUGGUAAGGUAACGGCUUACCAAGGCAACGAUGCAUAGCCGACCUGAGAGGGUGAUCGGCCACACUGGAACUGAGACACGGUCCAGACUCCUACGGGAGGCAGCAGUAGGGAAUCUUCCGCAAUGGGCGAAAGCCUGACGGAGCAACGCCGCGUGAGUGAUGAAGGUCUUCGGAUCGUAAAACUCUGUUAUUAGGGAAGAACAUAUGUGUAAGUAACUGUGCACAUCUUGACGGUACCUAAUCAGAAAGCCACGGCUAACUACGUGCCAGCAGCCGCGGUAAUACGUAGGUGGCAAGCGUUAUCCGGAAUUAUUGGGCGUAAAGCGCGCGUAGGCGGUUUUUUAAGUCUGAUGUGAAAGCCCACGGCUCAACCGUGGAGGGUCAUUGGAAACUGGAAAACUUGAGUGCAGAAGAGGAAAGUGGAAUUCCAUGUGUAGCGGUGAAAUGCGCAGAGAUAUGGAGGAACACCAGUGGCGAAGGCGACUUUCUGGUCUGUAACUGACGCUGAUGUGCGAAAGCGUGGGGAUCAAACAGGAUUAGAUACCCUGGUAGUCCACGCCGUAAACGAUGAGUGCUAAGUGUUAGGGGGUUUCCGCCCCUUAGUGCUGCAGCUAACGCAUUAAGCACUCCGCCUGGGGAGUACGACCGCAAGGUUGAAACUCAAAGGAAUUGACGGGGACCCGCACAAGCGGUGGAGCAUGUGGUUUAAUUCGAAGCAACGCGAAGAACCUUACCAAAUCUUGACAUCCUUUGACAACUCUAGAGAUAGAGCCUUCCCCUUCGGGGGGCAAAGUGACAGGUGGUGCAUGGUUGUCGUCAGCUCGUGUCGUGAGAUGUUGGGUUAAGUCCCGCAACGAGCGCAACCCUUAAGCUUAGUUGCCAUCAUUAAGUUGGGCACUCUAAGUUGACUGCCGGUGACAAACCGGAGGAAGGUGGGGAUGACGUCAAAUCAUCAUGCCCCUUAUGAUUUGGGCUACACACGUGCUACAAUGGACAAUACAAAGGGCAGCGAAACCGCGAGGUCAAGCAAAUCCCAUAAAGUUGUUCUCAGUUCGGAUUGUAGUCUGCAACUCGACUACAUGAAGCUGGAAUCGCUAGUAAUCGUAGAUCAGCAUGCUACGGUGAAUACGUUCCCGGGUCU
Molecule: ribosomal RNA, 1372 nt
Filed under: uncultured bacterium
Lineage: Bacteria
Description: bacterial SSU rRNA
Rfam family: Bacterial small subunit ribosomal RNA
Source: RNAcentral